GACAGAGGGUGCAAACGUUGCUCGGAAUCACUGGGCGUAAAGGGCGUGUAGGCGGGAAGGAAAGUCAGAUGUGAAAUCCCUGGGCUCAACCCAGGAACUGCAUUUGAAACUCCCUUUCUUGAGUACCGGAGAGGAAGGUGGAAUUCCUGGUGUAGAGGUGAAAUUCGUAGAUAUCAGGAGGAACACCAGUGGCGAAGGCGGCCUUCUGGACGGUAACUGACGCUGAGACGCGAAAGCGUGGGGAGCAAACAGG
Molecule: ribosomal RNA, 253 nt
Filed under: uncultured bacterium
Lineage: Bacteria
Description: partial 16S ribosomal RNA
Rfam family: Bacterial small subunit ribosomal RNA
Source: RNAcentral